This 441-nucleotide ribosomal RNA is filed under the name uncultured bacterium. Its description in RNAcentral is "bacterial SSU rRNA". It matches the Rfam family "Bacterial small subunit ribosomal RNA", at positions 338 to 795 of the family's 1533-position model. The record is from RNAcentral.
CCUACGGGGGGCUGCAGUGGGGGAUUUUGCACAAUGGAGGAAACUCUGAUGCAGCGACACUGCGUGAAGGAUGAAGGUUCUAGGAUCGUAAACUUCUUUUAUCAGGGAGUAAUCUUGAAAGUACCUGAUGAAUAAGGACCGGCUAACUACGUGCCAGCAGCCGCGGUAAUACGUAGGGUCCGAACGUUAUCCGGAAUUAUUGGGCGUAAAGAGUUCGUAGGUGGCAAGAAAAGUCGGGCAUUAAAGCCCUCGGCUCAACCGAGGAAUCGUAUCCGAAACUUUCUAGCUAGAGGUUCGCAGAGGCAGAUGGAAUUCAUGGUGUAGCAGUGGAAUGCGUAGAUAUCAUGAAGAACACCAAUGGCGAAGGCAGUCUGCUGGGCAACACCUGACACUGAGGAACGAAAGCGUGGGUAGCGAACGGGAUUAGAUACCCCAGUAGUC